AACGAACGCUGGCGGCAUGCCUAACACAUGCAAGUCGAACGAGACCUUCGGGUCUAGUGUCGCACGGGUGCGUAACGCGUGGGAAUCUGCCCUUCGGUUGGGGAUAACUGCGAGAAAUUUCAGCUAAUACCUUAUAAUGUCUUCGGACCAAAGAUGUAUCGCCGAGGGUUGAGCCCGCGUAGGAUUAGGUAGUUGGUGAGGUAAUGGCCUACCAAGCCGCCGAUCCUUAGCUGGUCUGAGAGGAUGAUCAGCCACACUGUGACUGAGACAAGGACCAGACUCCUAGGGGAGGCAGCAGGGGGGAAUAUUGGACGAUGGGCGAGAGCAUGAUGCAGCCAGGCCGCGAGAGUGAUGAAGGCGUUAGGGUUGUAAAGCUCUUUUACCCGGGAUGAUAAUGACAGUACCGGGAGAAUAAGCGCCGGCUAACUACGUG
Molecule: ribosomal RNA, 433 nt
Filed under: uncultured bacterium
Lineage: Bacteria
Description: partial 16S ribosomal RNA
Rfam family: Bacterial small subunit ribosomal RNA
Source: RNAcentral